Molecule: ribosomal RNA, 253 nt
Filed under: uncultured bacterium
Lineage: Bacteria
Description: partial 16S ribosomal RNA
Rfam family: Bacterial small subunit ribosomal RNA
Source: RNAcentral
UACAGAGGUGGCAAGCGUUGUUCGGAUUUACUGGGCGUAAAGGGUGCGUAGGCGGCUCUGCGUGUCGGAUGUGAAAUCCCACGGAUUAUUCGUGGAACGGCAUUCGAAACUGCAGGGCUAGAGUACAGGAGAGGAGAGCGGAAUUCUUGGUGUAGCGGUGAAAUGCGUUGAUAUCAAGAGGAACGCCGGUGACGAAGGUGGCUCUCUGGACUGUUACUGACGCUGAGGCACGAAAGCUAGGGGAGCAAACAGG